UACGGAGGGUGCAAGCGUUAUUCGGAAUCACUGGGCGUAAAGGACGCGUAGGCGGGUUGGCAAGUCAGAUGUGAAAUCCUACAGCUUAACUGUAGAACUGCAUUUGAAACUGCUAACCUAGAGUAUGGGAGGGGGAGAUGGAAUUAGUGGUGUAGGGGUAAAAUCCGUAGAUAUCACUAGGAAUACCGAAAGCGAAGGCGAUCUCCUGGAACAUAACUGACGCUAAGGCGUGAAAGCGUGGGGAGCAAACAGGAUUAGAAACCCCUGUAGUCC
This 273-nucleotide ribosomal RNA is filed under the name uncultured bacterium. RNAcentral's name for it is "partial 16S ribosomal RNA". It matches the Rfam family "Bacterial small subunit ribosomal RNA", at positions 524 to 796 of the family's 1533-position model. The record is from RNAcentral.